This 459-nucleotide ribosomal RNA is filed under the name uncultured bacterium. Its description in RNAcentral is "partial 16S ribosomal RNA". It matches the Rfam family "Bacterial small subunit ribosomal RNA", at positions 338 to 795 of the family's 1533-position model. The record is from RNAcentral.
CCUACGGGAGGCAGCAGUGAGGAAUAUUGGUCAAUGGGCGAGAGCCUGAACCAGCCAAGUCGCGUGAGGGAAGACGGUCCUAUGGAUUGUAAACCUCUUUUGCCGGGGAGCAAAAAGCGGUACGUGUACCGCAUCGAGAGUACCCGGAGAAAAAGCAUCGGCUAACUCCGUGCCAGCAGCCGCGGUAAUACGGAGGAUGCGAGCGUUAUCCGGAUUUAUUGGGUUUAAAGGGUGCGCAGGCGGCGAGUUAAGUCAGCGGUAAAAUUUCGGGGCUCAACCCCGACAAGCCGUGGAAACUGGCUGUCUUGAGAUGUCGAGAGGUAUGCGGAAUGCGCAGUGUAGCGGUGAAAUGCUUAGAUAUUGCGCAGAACUCCGAUUGCGAAGGCAGCAUACCGGCGGCGAUCUGACGCUGAGGCACGAAAGCGUGGGUAUCGAACAGGAUUAGAUACCCCAGUAGUC